RNAcentral lists this unclassified non-coding RNA (214 nucleotides) under Hevea brasiliensis (rubber tree). The record is from RNAcentral. Lineage: Eukaryota; Viridiplantae; Streptophyta; Magnoliopsida; Malpighiales; Euphorbiaceae.
GGCUUCGAGAACCCACUCGUUGAACGCUGUGGAAUUUUAGGGCUCCUUCCUGAUGCAACAAACCCACACCAACAUCAUCAUCAAGAAUCUAAAUAUAUAGCGAAGCAAAAUCACCAGACAGACAUUAAAGAAAGUAUUAAUUAUUUACGUACCCAAAAUUGGUAGCAGCAUAGUAAGGUAUAUUACACAGCACGGCCUCGUCAAUGUCAAAAAC